CAUAAUCAACACCCAUCAACCAUUUGCUCCUAUGUACCGCUGGAUUUUUAACAGAAAAAAUGGACCCAGUUCAAAACUGGGUGCCAAGAUGACAGUAUAAGAAAUAACUAGCAAUCUUUGCCAAAAGAGAAUCUGACCCAGUUCAAGUUUCACCCAGGCAGCACACGAAAAAUAACGCAGCGAGCAAGCUGCAGCCACCCUCCAAAAGCACAAGCAAAGAAUCUUGCGUGGC
Molecule: unclassified non-coding RNA, 232 nt
Filed under: Hevea brasiliensis (rubber tree)
Lineage: Eukaryota; Viridiplantae; Streptophyta; Magnoliopsida; Malpighiales; Euphorbiaceae
Source: RNAcentral